Schistocerca serialis cubense is the source of this 2136-nucleotide long non-coding RNA. RefSeq lists it as uncharacterized. The transcript has 3 exons. NCBI's taxonomy places the organism in Eukaryota, Metazoa, Arthropoda, Insecta, Orthoptera, Acrididae. The record is from RefSeq and is a predicted model, not a curated record.
UAAAUGGAGAAAGUUAACAAUAUGUAUUUCUACAGAUUUCCAAGACAAACUAAAGAGUUGCAUCUGAUGUGGAGUAGUCCUUGUAAGCUGUGAAGGCGGAGGGAGUUUUGGCUAGUGGAGUUUCAAAAGCAGACUUAAGACUCAGAUAAUCGAAAAAGUCCAAGAUUAAUAGGAAUGCUUUAACAGGGCUACCAGAACUUAAAACAAAGCUACAUCAUGGGAAAAAUGAAUGAAAACCGCUUAAAGCUUUGUACGAUAGCAGCAACAAGAGCUAGAUGCAGUUCCCUCCGUGUCUAAGUAUCUACAUUACCUGGGAGAGAACAUCCUGUAGACGUAGAUUGUAGGGAAUGCCUGAGUAGGCAUACUCUGUUUAAAACAGCGAUAACUUGAAGCGUAAGACUGGCGACUGAACUGCUGCAGAAACAAAGCGAUGUAUAGAUGUCAGAUGAUAAUCUUGUGUUCAUCAUCAAAAUGAAAGUUGUAACACACUCAGGAAAUGAGCACAGGAGAGCAGAUGUAGGAAUCAAGUGUCACUGCACUCGGUGAGGUUGUAAUGGAGUUGGUUUGCGGUAGGAUGAAACCCAGUGCUGGUCCAUGGGCCUACUGUUCUCAAAAAGUACGUUGCGGCUGCUGAGCUCAACUCUAAAUCUGAAGAACAUAAAGUGUCACAUGCCUUCACAUCAAGAGACAGUGUAAGAAGGUACAAAUGUAAUCCAGGACAUUAGCGCAAAAUGUGAUCACGAACGUUACCCCAUCACCUCUCAUCCCUUUGUCACCCAAAUACUGGCAUUGAAAAUUUUCCACCACCAGGAUGACUUGCAUCCAAGUUGAGAGCCACCACACAGAACUUUGUUAGCAACCUUGGUUAUGAAGAUGGGGCCAUCUCACCACAAUCGUAGAAAUUUCAAAGCAAUAGGCCUACUGCUGUGUUAACAUUGCCAAGUUCUGUAAACAUUCUCCUGUUUGUUUUUACCCCAAAUGUCAUAUAAGAGUGGGAUCCAACACACUCUCUACAUCAUUUGUCCACUAAAUUCAAAUGGUCGGUGGAGGAAAGAUGUUUGUUUAUGUUCAUCCAUAAAUAAACAUUUAUUUGCACUCAAUGUCAUCAAGAUUAAAGCUGAUAACUGAAGAUCUAGCUGAAGCCUCUUCAGGCUUCUUAUACUUAAAUGCCAAUACACAUAUUCCCUAACGGUAUUUGUGGACAACAGAAACUUUAAUGAACUCGGCAAUUCACAAACACAGUACUACAGGUAGAAAUAAUUUACUUCUCCUGGUUUAAAAGGGAGUUUUAUAUUCUGGUGCAAAAGAUUGUAACAGGUGGACUGUAGAAAAGAAACUAAACAUUCCCACCUAUCCAUAUAAACGGCAAGUUGACAUAUCCUGAGCAUGUGAAUUUGUUGAAAACAAGUGACCAGUCAGUGUGUAAAAAAGAGUCGAGCUAAGACACUAAAAGUAAGUUGUCAGUCAGUGUGUGAAAAUAAUCAAGCUGUAUACGGAAAAAAAAGAGGAAGUAUCCAGUCUAUGUGUGAAAGCAAACAAGCUACUGCAUGUUUGUUUUGCUUCACAAUUGCUAAAUAUGUAUGGGAAUUGGACAUACAUCCUAAUCUCCUUCUCCCCUCCUGUCGCCUACCAUCUCCUUUCCCCUCUCUCUGUCCAUCUCCUCCUCUGUCCUCUCUAUAUCCAUUUCUUCCCUCCCUGCCAAUGGCCAUCUCUUCUCUCCCCCUUCUCUCUCUGAGCUUGAGCCUUGCUUGUUAUUACAAUUUUAGUUUCCAUAGUAGUAUUCUAAUCAUAAACCAUAAAUACAAUGUUCCUGUUUCCUGUGAAAACAGACUGCAAGGAAUAAAACAAAACAGUAUAGUUUUGUGUUUACAGUUUGCAUUUAAAAUAUAUAUAAUGAGGUAGAACAUAUAUGGAAGAAAUAAUUUGUCUAGCAGUUUAAGUGCCCAGCUAUCAUAAUUGAAACUGAUUGUGAGAAAGAAAACAAAACUAUACAUUUUCACAGCAGAGCAUGGCAAACAUUUUCUUUGGCACAGUCAGUUUUAACAGAAAACUGGUAGUUGGUCUUUAAAAGAAUAUAUGGCCUGUGUCUCUCUGAAUGUUUAUAAAGGUAUCAUGUAAAAAUUUGAAAUAAAUUGG